CACACGAUGACAAUCCAUUUUUCCUAGAAUAGAAAAGGAAGAUAGUGUUAGCCUAUAAUACAGAAGAAGAAACACAUUUAACAUGUACGUGUUGAGUUCAGUUAAGUUUUGGAGGAAAGGUUAACAAAUUAGAGUGAUGAUAUUCACACCAGUGUACUGUAAUCCUAGAAACAUGCAUGACGGCGUCCGUUAUUAUCUUCUGGAACUGUCCAUUCAUAUUCCUCCGCUACAAAGAAAGGAGAGAACACGAUUGCGGUUUCAUCUGACAUUCAAUCAUUAUUAAAAUAAACGAAGACUUCAAAGA
This is a long non-coding RNA of Magallana angulata, 304 nucleotides long. RefSeq lists it as uncharacterized. The record is from RefSeq and is a predicted model, not a curated record. The transcript is spliced from 3 exons. Lineage: Eukaryota; Metazoa; Mollusca; Bivalvia; Ostreida; Ostreidae.